CAGAUUGAAUUGCCGAUGUUAUGACCCCAGUAUGUACAUACACGCGGUUUCUCUCGUGAGUUAAAACUAUAAUCUGUGCAUGUGCUGUGUUUGCGUUCCGCGUUCGCAUUUCAAAAGUACAUGAUGUUUUUAUGUAAAACGAUUGUUAAUCAGCGCAAAGAGAGGUGAUUGUGGUUUAAUAAGAGAGUUAAAGUUUUUAAUAGUCGAGCAAUAUUGCAUACUGCGCUGGUAUGAAAAAGAAUCACGAAAUUAAAACUACGAGAAUGAAUUGAGUUAAUAAGCAGUCUAAAUAAAAUUUUAAUUUAACCAUUGAAGUAAGAAGUCACUUUCAAGAUUGCAUGCUCUACUUUCUAUCGUAUGUUCUUUUUGCAAAAUAGUGCUUAUUCUAGUUUUUCUUAACAGAAAGGAAACGCGCAGAAAAGGAAAGUGCAAAGACGGAAAGGAAUUUCUAUCCAUGUUGCAAAAACUUGUAGUAAUUAAGUAACAAUUUCAAGACAUUAAUUAUUUGUUAGAGAGAUAAAUUUACUUGAAAACUGUAAACUUGUGUAUAUGCACACACAUACACACACAAAAGUUAUGAAGCGGGUUUAUCAUAAGAAAAUCAUGCAGAUUUUGUUUAGCAGAGUCAUCCUUCCUAUUAAUAAAGUACAAAUUUUAUUAAUGAACGAUUAAUAAAUUGACUUUCAAUCAAACUAAUAAAUGUGAUAAUCCACAAUAAUAUUGUAAAUUAAUAUAUAAAUAAACGAAUAUCGAGACACUAUCAGAUUGAAUUAUAUUAUGUACAGAUUUAUAUAUAUAUAUAUAUAUAUAUUAACAAAAAUGCUAAUAAUAUAUAUCAUCAGAAGAACCGUAAACUGACAAUUUAACAAUCAUAAAUUAUUCGAUUAUUCGCAAACGAUAUAAUUCGUGUUCGUCAGUAGUAACUUUGAAUGAUUAAAGAGGUUUAUGAAGGUAUUUACACAAAUGCAAAUCACUUCGCACUUAUACGUUGUAAAAAGUAUUGAAUAUUCAUUGCACGAUAUUUAUUUUAUACAAUUAUGCGCUUAUAGUUUGAUAUUCUUGCGAUAUGCGAAAGUAAAACGUAAUUGAGAGGGAAAAAUGCGAUGAUUUUACAUCAUUAUCUCACCAACGACGUAUGAUUAUUUACUUGUGAAAAUCUUAAUAUUCAAAUGAAGUAGAUGCGUUCUGUUAGUUGCAUGUAAAUAAAAUCAAAUUACUAUACAUGUAGUAUAUUUCAUAUUUCUGUUUCAGAUUCGCCAUUCAAUUCUAUCGGAGAUGAAAAAUGUAAUCGUAGUUAUUUAUAAGAUACAUUGAAUAUAUAAGCAAAUUUGUUAACCGCCUGUUAUCAAAUUCAUAGCCACCGUAAUAAAAAUAAAGCAUGCUACAGCUUUUC
Molecule: long non-coding RNA, 1393 nt
Organism: Ooceraea biroi (clonal raider ant)
Lineage: Eukaryota; Metazoa; Arthropoda; Insecta; Hymenoptera; Formicidae
Source: RefSeq, a predicted model, not a curated record